GUCCACGCCGUAAACGAUGGAUACUAGGUGUAGGAGGUAUCGACCCUCCUGUGCCGGAGUUAACGCAAUAAGUAUCCCGCCUGGGAAGUACGAUCGCAAGAUUAAACUCAAAGGAAUUGACGGGGCCCGCACAAGCGGUGGAGUAUGUGGUUUAAUUCGACGCAACGCGAAGAACCUUACCAGGUCUUGACAUUGAUCGCGAUCUGCAGAAAUGCGGAGUUCUUCUUCGGAAGACGAGAAACAAGGUGGUGCACGGCUGUCGU
RNAcentral lists this ribosomal RNA (263 nucleotides) under uncultured bacterium. RNAcentral's name for it is "partial 16S ribosomal RNA". It matches the Rfam family "Bacterial small subunit ribosomal RNA", at positions 793 to 1055 of the family's 1533-position model. The record is from RNAcentral.